GAUGAACGCUGGCGGCGUGCCUAAUACAUGCAAGUCGAGCGAACAGACGAGGAGCUUGCUCCUCUGACGUUAGCGGCGGACGGGUGAGUAACACGUGGAUAACCUACCUAUAAGACUGGGAUAACUUCGGGAAACCGGAGCUAAUACCGGAUAAUAUAUUGAACCGCAUGGUUCAAUAGUGAAAGACGGUUUUGCUGUCACUUAUAGAUGGAUCCGCGCCGCAUUAGCUAGUUGGUAAGGUAACGGCUUACCAAGGCAACGAUGCGUAGCCGACCUGAGAGGGUGAUCGGCCACCCUGGAACUGAGACACGGUCCAGACUACUACGGGAGGCAGCAGUAGGGAAUCUUCCGCAAUGGGCGAAAGCCUGACGGAGCAACGCCGCGUGAGUGAUGAAGGUCUUCGGAUCGUAAAACUCUGUUAUUAGGGAAGAACAAAUGUGUAAGUAACUAUGCACGUCUUGACGGUACCUAAUCAGAAAGCCACGGCUAACUACGUG
Molecule: ribosomal RNA, 497 nt
Filed under: uncultured bacterium
Lineage: Bacteria
Description: partial 16S ribosomal RNA
Rfam family: Bacterial small subunit ribosomal RNA
Source: RNAcentral